Molecule: ribosomal RNA, 1365 nt
Filed under: Mycobacterium lentiflavum
Lineage: Bacteria; Bacillati; Actinomycetota; Actinomycetes; Mycobacteriales; Mycobacteriaceae
Description: bacterial SSU rRNA
Rfam family: Bacterial small subunit ribosomal RNA
Source: RNAcentral
UGCAGUCGACGGANGGCCUCUUCGGAGGUACUCGAGUGGCGAACGGGUGAGUAACACGUGGGUAAUCUGCCCUGCACUUCGGGAUAAGCCUGGGAAACUGGGUCUAAUACCGGAUAGGACCUUUUGGCGCAUGCCUUUUGGUGGAAAGCUUUUGCGGUGUGGGAUGGGCCCGCGGCCUAUCAGCUUGUUGGUGGGGUGACGGCCUACCAAGGCGACGACGGGUAGCCGGCCUGAGAGGGUGUCCGGCCACACUGGGACUGAGAUACGGCCCAGACUCCUACGGGAGGCAGCAGUGGGGAAUAUUGCACAAUGGGCGCAAGCCUGAUGCAGCGACGCCGCGUGGGGGAUGACGGCCUUUCGGGUUGUAAACCUCUUUCAGCAGGGACGAAGCGCAAGUGACGGUACCUGCAGAAGAAGCACCGGCCAACUACGUGCCAGCAGCCGCGGUAAUACGUAGGGUGCGAGCGUUGUCCGGAAUUACUGGGCGUAAAGAGCUCGUAGGUGGUUUGUCGCGUUGUUCGUGAAAACCGGGGGCUUAACCCUCGGCGUGCGGGCGAUACGGGCAGACUGGAGUACUGCAGGGGAGACUGGAAUUCCUGGUGUAGCGGUGGAAUGCGCAGAUAUCAGGAGGAACACCGGUGGCGAAGGCGGGUCUCUGGGCAGUAACUGACGCUGAGGAGCGAAAGCGUGGGGAGCGAACAGGAUUAGAUACCCUGGUAGUCCACGCCGUAAACGGUGGGUACUAGGUGUGGGUUUCCUUCCUUGGAAUCCGUGCCGUAGCUAACGCAUUAAGUACCCCGCCUGGGGAGUACGGCCGCAAGGCUAAAACUCAAAGGAAUUGACGGGGGCCCGCACAAGCGGCGGAGCAUGUGGAUUAAUUCGAUGCAACGCGAAGAACCUUACCUGGGUUUGACAUGCACAGGACGCCGGCAGAGAUGUCGGUUCCCUUGUGGCCUGUGUGCAGGUGGUGCAUGGCUGUCGUCAGCUCGUGUCGUGAGAUGUUGGGUUAAGUCCCGCAACGAGCGCAACCCUUGUCUCAUGUUGCCAGCGGGUAAUGCCGGGGACUCGUGAGAGACUGCCGGGGUCAACUCGGAGGAAGGUGGGGAUGACGUCAAGUCAUCAUGCCCCUUAUGUCCAGGGCUUCACACAUGCUACAAUGGCCGGUACAAAGGGCUGCGAUGCCKUAAGRUYAAGCGAAUCYUUUUWAAGCCGGUCUCARUUCGGAUCGGGGUYUGCAACUCGACCCCGUGAAGUCGGAGUCGCUAGUAAUCGCAGAUCAGCAACGCUGCGGUGAAUACGUUCCCGGGCCUUGUACACACCGCCCGUCACRUCAKGAAAGUCGSUAACACCCGAAGCCANGGGCCU